CUCCACACUAACCGGAAACACGUGACCUCCACAGUAGCCGGAAGCACGUGACCUCCACAGUAGCCGUAAACACGCAUGGAUACCGUGGAAGUCUUGCAAGUUGAUCGCAAAGAUGCACACAUCAAUCUGGAAUUCGGGCUUAAAGCCAGAACUGCAGGAAUGCAACACGUGUUGCAGAGGACUCUUUCACUGCCCUCUGUGCCCCACUUUCAGCCCAACUGUCAGGGCAAAGAUUGAGGAGCAUCUAAGUGUGCAUAUAAAAAAUGCUUUGCCUUUCAAAGAUAAAAUGAUAUGCCGGUGCAGGCUGCCUUGUAGGACAACAGGACACUUUCACCGCCCUGUCUGUAAGAUUACAAUCAUACGGCGUGGGGAUAUGGCAAGGCAUUUAUUGUCUUGUCAGCAUUCUUCAAUGCCAAGUCAGCCACCAUUAUAAGGACUGCUCCCCGCUGAACUCUCCGAGGAGACCCGUAUUCCUCCGGCAGUACUCUUCGAGGAGCCCCGUCUCCUCCCCAAGGUUUUGUCUUUGCUCUGGCAAGCUAUUUGCACACUGGAGAGAGGAAGCCAAAGCUGUGCUUGAAGGACAACACGUGCCCAUUUUCAGACUGAAAAAGCGCAAGUUCCAGGAAGUCAGUCAGGAGCCAGCAGUUGUUGAAGAUCUGCGUCCUGCUGUGCAGUGGGUUGUCCAAAAUAAGGCACUUUUCCGUGGACACGUAACAAUGCCCAAAUAUCUGUCCUUAAAUCAAGGGGACCAGCAGAGGGUCUUAAGAGACAUGUCAGAGGAAGAAGACACUGGAGCAAGGGACUUGUUCCUCUUUGUUUUUCAGUUUGCAGAGGACAUGGAGCUCUUUUUGAAAGCAUGUGCUGAUGAGCAGGGGCUAAGGGUCAGUGCUAUGUUUGACAUGUAAUGGACAAAUGAAGGCACUGGCUGUGUUUGUUUGUUUAAUAUGUUGUUGUUGUUGUUGUUUUGUUUUUGCGUAGUACAAAAUUCCAAUUAAACUUAUUUCAAAAUGUUGUUCACUUUAUUCUGUGUCCAUACUUAUAAUAAAGGAUUACAGUGUAACAGCAUUAAAUGUAAAUGUAACAGCAUUUUUUUUAAACUUGUAAUUUCAAAAUAAAAAGCUUAUUGUUGAUAUUAACAGUAAAGAAUUGUAAUCAAUAAUAUUUUUAUACAUUUUAAACAUUAACACUCUGGGCUCUAUCCUGGCCAUUUGUGGACACUUCACUUAUUCUUUUUUUUGACUACUGCACUGCAGUGGACCAAAAGAAUGACACGGGUUUGAUCUUAAGGAUCUAAUAGUUGUGUGUGUUGUGCAUGACAUUGCCACACAAAUAUGUAUUUGCAAGAUAGAGUAGAAUAAAUUAUGACGCAUGAAAUAUUACAUAGGCUGCAGUGAAUUUCUGUUGAUACAGACUAUUGAGCUUUGAGUUUCCCAGUCAAACUUAGCUUUGAAGCACCUGCUAAAAACACUUUUACUCUUGUACAUUUCAAAACAAGACACCAUAGCCAAAAUAUUAACAAAAUAUAUAUUAUUAAAAAAUUCAAAGCUGCAGCACAUACAGCAACAAACACCGUUAGUAAAUGUGUCCUGGAGUUUAUGCAGGUGCAGAAAGUGCUGCUGCUGUAAGUCAGCCUAACAGCUUCCAGAUCACUUAUUUUUCUGGAAAGAUGGUAGGAAGGGCAUCACUGCUCAUUUCUACAGUCUCCCAGAUCUUGGAAUACAAUCCCUUUGUACCAUGAAACCACUUCGCAGUACUAGGAGUCCACUAAAACCUAUAAAGAGAGUGAUCCUGGAAGAAAUGGGGCACACACUAGUGACCUCAACAAUUGCAAGACAGCCUUUUCCCCGAUGCUCAGAUACAAUUUUGAUUUUGAUGAAAAGGACUGGUGCUAUUUUAAAGAGUCACGUCGGCAAAAGUAGAAAAAUGUUUUAAGAAAUAUACAUUUUAUAGCAUUUUGUGAACAUACACAAAAAGUGGCCAUUUUUGGCAACAAACAAGCUGAGAGAGAGUUUUAUAUUUUUGGCUCUCCUUGAACAAAAAUAAUAGUGCAUAAUAAUCAAUGUUGAUGUUAAUCAAUUAGAUGUCCCAGACUCUACUAUUAAUAAUACAGCAGCCCCUCGUUUAUCGCUGGUGUUACGUUCAAAAAAUAACCCGCGGUAGGUGAAAUCCAUGAAGUAGCCAACUUUAUUUUUUACAAUUAGGGGAGAUGUUAAGACUGUAAAACCCCUCACUACAUGCUUUAUACACUUUUCUCAGACAGGCAUGAACAUUUUCACACUUUUCUCUUUGUUUAAACACUCUUAGAGUUCAAACCUUCGUAGAAACAUAAGUCCAUGUAUUAUGGAAUGAAACCUAAAGAAGCAUUUGAGGGUGCAAAACGUUUCGUCGGCAUUGUUGUGUUUGUUUGGGAGAAAACUUACAAACAUACA
Molecule: long non-coding RNA, 2429 nt
Organism: Haplochromis burtoni (Burton's mouthbrooder)
Lineage: Eukaryota; Metazoa; Chordata; Actinopteri; Cichliformes; Cichlidae
Exons: 5
Source: RefSeq, a predicted model, not a curated record